UUGCUAAUAAUUCUCUAGUGGCGCACGGGUGAGUAACACGUGAGCAAUCUGCCUUUCAGAGGGGGAUACCGAUUGGAAACGAUCGUUAAUACCGCAUAACAUAAUUGAACCGCAUGAUUUGAUUAUCAAAGAUUUAUCGCUGAAAGAUGAGCUCGCGUCUGAUUAGCUAGUUGGUAAGGUAACGGCUUACCAAGGCGACGAUCAGUAGCCGGACUGAGAGGUUGAUCGGCCACAUUGGGACUGAGACACGGCCCAGACUCC
This 261-nucleotide ribosomal RNA is filed under the name uncultured Oscillospiraceae bacterium. Its description in RNAcentral is "partial 16S ribosomal RNA". It matches the Rfam family "Bacterial small subunit ribosomal RNA", at positions 76 to 339 of the family's 1533-position model. Lineage: Bacteria; Bacillati; Bacillota; Clostridia; Eubacteriales; Oscillospiraceae. The record is from RNAcentral.